This 426-nucleotide ribosomal RNA is filed under the name uncultured Actinomycetes bacterium. Its description in RNAcentral is "bacterial SSU rRNA". It matches the Rfam family "Bacterial small subunit ribosomal RNA", at positions 958 to 1385 of the family's 1533-position model. Lineage: Bacteria; Bacillati; Actinomycetota; Actinomycetes. The record is from RNAcentral.
AACGCGAAGAACCUUACCAAGGUUUGACAUGGCCGGAAAAGCAUCAGAGAUGGUGUGUCCUUCGGGGUCGGUCACAGGUGGUGCAUGGCUGUCGUCAGCUCGUGUCGUGAGAUGUUGGGUUAAGUCCCGCAACGAGCGCAACCCUCGUCCUAUGUUGCCAGCGGGUCAUGCCGGGGACUCAUGGGAGACUGCCGGGGUCAACUCGGAGGAAGGUGGGGAUGACGUCAAGUCAUCAUGCCCCUUAUGUCUUGGGCUGCAAACAUGCUACAAUGGCCGGUACAGAGGGCUGCGAGACCGCGAGGUUGAGCGAAUCCCGGAAAGCCGGUCUCAGUUCGGAUCGGGGUCUGCAACUCGGCCCCGUGAAGCUGGAGUCGCUAGUAAUCGCGGAUCAGCAACGCCGCGGUGAAUACGUUCCCGGGCCUUGUA